Molecule: non-coding RNA, 591 nt
Organism: Paramormyrops kingsleyae
Lineage: Eukaryota; Metazoa; Chordata; Actinopteri; Osteoglossiformes; Mormyridae
Source: RefSeq, a predicted model, not a curated record
GGGGUUGGAAGUUCUAAGGGUUUGGUAGCCAGAUAGGUCAGUCCUAUGUGGAGAGACGACACGGGGAGACAGGAACACCGGGAGGGACGGGCAGGCAGGACAGGCAGGGAACAAGACGUACGGCAGGUGGCUGAAGUAGUGGGACCUGCCAUCUUUGGUGGGGGUCUGCUGGGUGCAUUUGCUGCCUUUGCAUCUGUAAUUGUGAUCAGUCUACUGAGGAAUUCCUAGUGAGAUGAAGCCCAACAGUGAAGGUGGAGGUCAGCUUAAGCACAGACCUGCACAAAGUGUGCCCCCACCCAGCGUGAAUGACAUCAUGCUUCCUUACUGCUAACUGCUGAAGUACUUACUAGUUAAAUCUGUAAAUGUGGGUAACUCUCACAACCUUAUCAGAUGGUCUUCAUAUUGAUUUUGAUAUUCAUAUUACUUGUAAUGUAAGAAGAGAUCUGCAUUCUGAUCAUUUGGUAUAAUGAUGACAAUGAUUUUGAGUGGAAAUUAAAACCCUGAUAAUUGACUUUGUGUGACCUGACUAAUGCUUUUUCAUCCUCUGGGUGUCUUAUUGCUUAAAUCAGUAAAAUAAAGUAACUGCAGUAA